GAGUUUACUUGCAGAUGGGGGUGACGACCCAUUUUUAUUUUUAUUUUAUUCAUUUAUUUAUUUGUCUCCCUAGGGCCGCACCCAGUGUGGCAUGUGGAGGUUCCCAGGCUAGGGGUCCAAUCCGAGAUAUAGCCGCCAGCCUACACCACAGCCACAGCAAUGCAGAAUCCAAGCUGAGUCUGCGACCUACACCACAGCUCAUGGAAACAUGGGAUCCUUAACCCACUGAGCAUGGCCAGGGAUCGAACACGCAUCCUCCUGGAUGCUUGUCGGGUUCAUUAUCCCCUGAGCCAUGAAGGGAACUCUGACAAUCCAUUUUUAAAUGCUUCUGCUAGCCCACAUCUCUGAAGUGCACUGCAAUGAGUUUAAACAGGAAAGCACUGCACUGUGCGGUCAUCAUUGGGAGAAAGAGCCUUGAACCAGGAAUAGACAUAAAAACUUUUUCUGUCACCUUUCAGGGAGGCUGUAGAGCCAUCUUCCCUGGAAGUGCAUUUACAGCUAUUUUUAUAGAGUAUCUAUACCAUUCUUUCCAGAUCAGGGAAAUAUAUUCAUUGGACCUUCCAGAAAUUGGAUUUUCUGGUCCUUUAAGUCCAUGAUUUGGAUUCUCCUCUUGUCUGAGAAUCACAGAGAUAGUUUGCCUCUGCUGAUGCCCAGGAAGCUGGAACCAGUAGUCCCAGGGGCAGGUAGGUCAGAGCUUCUGCCUCAUGUCACCAGCCUCCCAACGUCACAACCAGUGAAAGGAAAUUGAGCGAAUUUCCUGCCUCUGGUUUUGAAUGUGAGAACUAAAGUAGAAACCCAGUACUCUCACUUGACACAAAAUAAAGAUGGGGAAAAGUUUCUUUUAUGUUUCAGGAAAUGAUUACGUUUUGGUGAAGUGCUUAGAGGUAUAAUAUGAGCGGGAUAAUUUUCACAGCAUUUGAUGUUCCGAAUGUUGUGGGGCUCUUCCAUGACACAUAAUCAGUAUUAAGCCAACAUUUAUAAAAUAAAAAAUGAAACCAAGUUUCUCACCAGGAAAAUUGGUUUCCAUUCAACAAGAUGUCCUACGGCAUCCUUAUAAUUUUCAGGUUUCAGUUUUUCAGGACUCACUUUUACCACAAGGGAUGACAUUUAGAAAAUAAAGAAUCCUGGGUGUCCCCUAAAAGGAAGUGUACCAAAAUAUUAGGAGAGUAUCUGACCCUAAGUAAAUCAAUAUUUAAUUAUAACCACUGGUUGAACCUUUGUCUUGCCUUCUUCCUAUUACAAAACCCCCAAUAUUGCUGCUAUCUCUAUUGUUCUUUUUUGAAUAACUUUACAGAUCCACCCUUUUCCUAAUAUUGUAUUUAGUAUUAAAAAUGGAUUUUUGAUGUGUCUAAAGAGAACUAUGUAAGUGAGUGUUAUUCAUAUUAUGUACAUUAAAGAUGUGUGAAAUAAAUAGCAGUAUAAAAUAUAACCCCUGCCCUUUCAUAGCAUACCAUUUUUUAUUUUAUUUUAAUUUGUAUUUUUAUUUUUUGCUUUUUAGGGCUGCACCUAUGGCAUAUGGAAGUUCCCAGGCUAGGGGUCAAUUCAGAGCUGUAGCUGCUGGUCUACACCACAGCUGCAGCAAUGCCAGAUCCGAGCCAUGUCUGUGACCUACACCACAGCUCACGGCAAUGCCAGAUCCUUUAAUCCACUGAGGGAGGCCAGGAUGGAACCCACAUCCUCAUGGAUGCUAGUCGGAUUUGCUUCUGCUGCACCACAAUGGGAACUCCCGCAUAUCGUUGAAUGGGGAAAUAAAACAUACACACAUACAAGUAAAAAAUACUUUUAAAAUUAUGUUGAUAUUUCUCACAAUAUGUUCUGCACACAACCUAUAUCAGAUUCAUUUAGUUUAUGCUUGUUAAAACACAUGUGCCUAAGUCCCAGCUCAGAGUUACUGAGUCAGAAGUUCAUGGGAAUAGGGCCUAGAAGACUGCAUUUUAUGGGCACUCUAAAGUUUACAAUUUUUUUGUAUUAUAUGAAACUACCAGGAAAAUAUUAAGGACUAGAAGUUCUCUAAGCCAGCAGUAGAAGGGGAGAUUAUAUCUAGAUAAUCAGGAAAGGUGUUUGAGUAUGUGGAUUUGAACUUGGUUUUAAAUAAUGAGCAAUAUUUUGGCAGUGGUGAGUUAAAAUCUGACAUAGUGUCCAGGAGGAUGUGGGUUCAAUCCCUGGCCUUGCUCAGUGGGUUGAGGAUCUGGCAUUGCUACAAACUAUGGCUGGGUCUGGUGUUGCUGUGGCUGUGGUGUAGGCCAGCAGCUGCAGUUCUGAUUAGAUGUCUAGUCCAGGAACUGCUAUAUGGUGCAGAUGUGCCCCCCCCUCAAAAAAAAAUGCUAAUGGGGAGAAAAUCCAACUAGUUUAGCUAAAAGUGAGAAGUUUUGGAGAAAAAUCUAGAAAGAUAAGUUAAAGAGUUCUUGAAUGCCUAGCCAAGAUCUCUAGACAUUUUCCAGUGUUUAAAAAAUAGUUAGGUAAAUAUUUCUUUGUAAAUAAUGCAAUUGCACUAACAUAUUGCCUGAUUUUAAGAUUACAGACAUUUCUGAGUUAUGAGGAUAGAGGUGGCCUUUACAGAGCACAUGCUAUCUUAAAGACAAAAUAUAAAAGUGAAAAAAAAUCCCUCAAAACCACUUUUUUAAAGAACUGAAACAGCCCCAGAGAAAUCGAGAAUUUUGUGAGAACUACAAAACUAAUUAACUGCCACAGUGGCCAAUUGGGUCUCUGUUUUGUAUUUACAAGUCAGGGAAGCUGAUAAAUGUUUUGAGUUCUUGCUCAAAUGCCUUUUCUCUUUGACAAGUGAAAAAAAAAAGUUGGGGGGUGGGGACUGUGGAAAAAUCUGAAAGCCAAAACUCCUUUUCUACUGGUUGAUGAGAAAAAGAAACAAGCUAAAAAGUUGACUGUUGGAAAACCAGCACAGUGAAUUCACUUCCUACAUGGCAUAUGUGUUAACAGGUGGAUUCCUACUACUGCACUUACCUUUCAAGGUAAACCUUGGCCUGAUCAGUAGCCCCUUUCCUUCUGGUUCCCACAGCAGGGGAGUUAGAGAACACAAUUCAUGAAUAAGUGUCCUGCAGAGGGAUGGUGUUGACAGACCCAGGUCAAAGUACCCCAGGCUAUUUGAGAGAUGUAGUCCCUGGCUGGGGACGUCUCACUAAUUCUGUAAAGGCUUCCUCCCCAGGAAGGAACAAAGCAAGAUCUAGGUAAAGGAAGGAUGGAGAGAGAAAGAGUGGGACUGCAAGACACUGAGAGAACAGAGGAGAAUUCAAUGUUGAAACCUGGAGAAUGCUCUCAGUCCUGAAAAUGCAUAUCAUGGAAUACCACUCAGCCAUAAAAAAAUGGAAUAAUGCCAUUUGCAGCAACAUGGAUGCAACUAGAGAUUCUUCUACUAAGUGAAGUAAAUCAGAAAGACAAAUGCCAGGUGAUAUCACUUAUAUGUGGAAUCUAAAAUAUGGCACAAAGGAACCCAUCUACAAAACAGAAACAGACUCACACACAUGGAGAACAAACUUACAGUUGCCAAGGGAGAGGGGGGAGGGAGUGGGGUGACCUUGGAGUUUGGGGUUAGUAGAUGCAAACUAUUACAUUUAGAAUGGAUAAGCAAUGAGGUCCUGCUGUAUAGUAUAAGGAAUUAUAUCCAAUCUCUUUGGGAUAGACCAUAAUGGAAGAUAAUACAAGAAAGAGAAUGUAGAUGUAUGACUGGGUCACUUUGCUGAGCAGCAGAAAUUGGCACAACAUUGAAAACAACUAUUCUUUCAUUUUUAAAAUGAAAAAAAAAAAAAAGAAUGUUUCUAUCCCACUUUCUUCUCUUAUAAACAUGAAACACGAGAACACAGAAGAACUCAAAGGUACUUAGUACCCAAUUAGAGGCCCAAAACUGAAGUUUAAAGAAAGAGUGAAAUGAAGUAAUGAAACAUAACUUCAGGCAAGAACUGAGGGUAUUACAAUAGAUGGACUUAAUAAGAAUAAAAAUGUGUGGGAAGGAGGUGGGAAAGUCAAGUGGUUUCUUAGUAACUGAUGAAGUAACUGGGAAGUAACAAAAAACACAGAUGAAGCAACAGCUCUUAGGGCUCUUCUCUCUCACCUAGGACAUUUAUGCCAUUUUCUUUGCCCCAGAACUUGGUGCUUUCAUAGCAAUGUCUUCUGCAAGUCUCAGUGUAGAUCCAGGUUCAUCUGCUGCUGCUCUUUCUUCUCCUGCGUCCUCUUAAGAUUUGAUACUUAAGACUUCUGAAGGCAAUUCUCAUCCACAGUACCAGGGGUGGUGGGAGCAACUACUCUCCAGGAAGUUUUGUACGAUGUUUUUUCAGACACACAUGCUCUGGAGUUUGUUGUUCAUGCUACUUUAAAAAAUGUUAUUGGUGGAGUUACCAUCAUGGUACAGCAGAAACAAAUUUGAUUAGGAACCAUGAGGGACAGGGAUGGUUCGAUCCCUGGCCUUGCUCAGUGGGUUAUGGAUCUGGCAUUGCCAUGAGCUGUGGUGUAGGUUGCAGGUAUGGCUCAGAUCUGAUGAUGUGGCUUGGAUCUGAUGAUGCUGUGGCUGUGGUGGGGGCUGGCAGCUGUAGGCUCCAAUUUGGCCCCUAGCCUGGGAUCCUCCAUAUG
This 4581-nucleotide long non-coding RNA is filed under the name Sus scrofa (pig). Its description in RNAcentral is "lncRNA (ENSSSCG00000061006.1)". Lineage: Eukaryota; Metazoa; Chordata; Mammalia; Artiodactyla; Suidae. The record is from RNAcentral.